This 585-nucleotide ribosomal RNA is filed under the name Veillonella sp. ACP1. Its description in RNAcentral is "bacterial SSU rRNA". It matches the Rfam family "Bacterial small subunit ribosomal RNA", at positions 26 to 580 of the family's 1533-position model. The record is from RNAcentral. Lineage: Bacteria; Bacillati; Bacillota; Negativicutes; Veillonellales; Veillonellaceae.
AGGACGAACGCUGGCGGCGUGCUUAACACAUGCAAGUCGAACGAAGAGCGAUGGAAGCUUGCUUCUAUCAAUCUUAGUGGCGAACGGGUGAGUAACGCGUAAUCAACCUGCCCUUCAGAGGGGGACAACAGUUGGAAACGACUGCUAAUACCGCAUACGAUCCAAUCUCGGCAUCGAGACUGGAUGAAAGGUGGCCUCUAUUUAUAAGCUAUCACUGAAGGAGGGGAUUGCGUCUGAUUAGCUAGUUGGAGGGGUAACGGCCCACCAAGGCGAUGAUCAGUAGCCGGUCUGAGAGGAUGAACGGCCACAUUGGGACUGAGACACGGCCCAGACUCCUACGGGAGGCAGCAGUGGGGAAUCUUCCGCAAUGGACGAAAGUCUGACGGAGCAACGCCGCGUGAGUGAUGACGGCCUUCGGGUUGUAAAGCUCUGUUAAUCGGGACGAAUGGUUCUUGUGCGAAUAGUGCGAGGAUUUGACGGUACCGGAAUAGAAAGCCACGGCUAACUACGUGCCAGCAGCCGCGGUAAUACGUAGGUGGCAAGCGUUGUCCGGAAUUAUUGGGCGUAAAGCGCGCGCAGGCGGAU